This 77-nucleotide transfer RNA is filed under the name Cardiobacteriaceae bacterium. RNAcentral's name for it is "tRNA-Arg". It matches the Rfam family "tRNA". From Rfam's summary of the family: Transfer RNA (tRNA) molecules are approximately 80 nucleotides in length. Lineage: Bacteria; Pseudomonadati; Pseudomonadota; Gammaproteobacteria; Cardiobacteriales; Cardiobacteriaceae. The record is from RNAcentral.
GACCUCGUAGCUCAAUUGGAUAGAGCAUUCCCCUCCUAAGGGAAAGGUUGGAGGUUCGACCCCUCUCGAGGUCGCCA